GACGAACGCUGGCGGCGUGCCUAAUACAUGCAAGUCGAACGCUUCUUUCCUCCCGAGUGCUUGCACUCAAUUGGAAAGAGGAGUGGCGGACGGGUGAGUAACACGUGUGUAACCUACCCAUCAUAGGGGGAUAACACUUGGAAACAGGUGCUAAUACCGCAUAACAGUUUAUGCCGCAUGGCAUAAGAGUGAAAGGCGCUUUCGGGUGUCGCUGAUGGAUGGACCCGCGGUGCAUUAGCUAGUUGGUGAGGUAACGGCUCACCAAGGCCACGAUGCAUAGCCGACCUGAGAGGGUGAUCGGCCACACUAGGACUGAGACACGGCCCAGACUCCUACGGGAGGCAGCAGUAGGGAAUCUUCGGCAAAGGACGAAAGUCUGACCGAGCAACGCCGCGUGAGUGAAGAAGGUGUUCGGAUCGUAAAACUCUGUUGUUAGAGAAGAACAAGGACGUUAGUAACUGAACGUCCCCUGACGGUAUCUAACCAGAAAGCCACGGCUAACUACGUG
Molecule: ribosomal RNA, 508 nt
Filed under: uncultured bacterium
Lineage: Bacteria
Description: partial 16S ribosomal RNA
Rfam family: Bacterial small subunit ribosomal RNA
Source: RNAcentral